Molecule: ribosomal RNA, 2857 nt
Filed under: Enterobacter hormaechei
Lineage: Bacteria; Pseudomonadati; Pseudomonadota; Gammaproteobacteria; Enterobacterales; Enterobacteriaceae
Description: partial 23S ribosomal RNA
Rfam family: Bacterial large subunit ribosomal RNA
Source: RNAcentral
CUGCGAAAAGCGCCGGCGAGGUGAUAUGAACCUUUGACCCGGCGAUGUCCGAAUGGGGAAACCCAGUGCAAUCCGUUGCACUAUCGUUAACUGAAUACAUAGGUUAACGAGGCGAACCGGGGGAACUGAAACAUCUAAGUACCCCGAGGAAAAGAAAUCAACCGAGAUUCCCCCAGUAGCGGCGAGCGAACGGGGAGCAGCCCGGAGUCUGAAUCAGCUUGUGUGUUAGUGGAACGGUCUGGAAAGUCCGACGGUACAGGGUGAUAGUCCCGUACACGAAAGCACACAUGCUGUGAACUCGAAGAGUAGGGCGGGACACGUGGUAUCCUGUCUGAAUAUGGGGGGACCAUCCUCCAAGGCUAAAUACUCCUGACUGACCGAUAGUGAACCAGUACCGUGAGGGAAAGGCGAAAAGAACCCCGGCGAGGGGAGUGAAAAAGAACCUGAAACCGUGUACGUACAAGCAGUGGGAGCCUCUUUAUGGGGUGACUGCGUACCUUUUGUAUAAUGGGUCAGCGACUUAUAUUCUGUAGCAAGGUUAACCGUAUAGGGGAGCCGAAGGGAAACCGAGUCUUAACUGGGCGUUAAGUUGCAGGGUAUAGACCCGAAACCCGGUGAUCUAGCCAUGGGCAGGUUGAAGGUUGGGUAACACUAACUGGAGGACCGAACCGACUAAUGUUGAAAAAUUAGCGGAUGACCUGUGGCUGGGGGUGAAAGGCCAAUCAAACCGGGAGAUAGCUGGUUCUCCCCGAAAGCUAUUUAGGUAGCGCCUCGUGAACUCAUCUUCGGGGGUAGAGCACUGUUUCGGCUAGGGGGCCAUCCCGGCUUACCAACCCGAUGCAAACUACGAAUACCGAAGAAUGUUAUCACGGGAGACACACGGCGGGUGCUAACGUCCGUCGUGAAGAGGGAAACAACCCAGACCGCCAGCUAAGGUCCCAAAGUCAUGGUUAAGUGGGAAACGAUGUGGGAAGGCACAGACAGCCAGGAUGUUGGCUUAGAAGCAGCCAUCAUUUAAAGAAAGCGUAAUAGCUCACUGGUCGAGUCGGCCUGCGCGGAAGAUGUAACGGGGCUAAACCAUGCACCGAAGCUGCGGCAGCGACACUAUGUGUUGUUGGGUAGGGGAGCGUUCUGUAAGCCGUUGAAGGUGUCCUGUGAGGGGUGCUGGAGGUAUCAGAAGUGCGAAUGCUGACAUAAGUAACGAUAAAGCGGGUGAAAAGCCCGCUCGCCGGAAGACCAAGGGUUCCUGUCCAACGUUAAUCGGGGCAGGGUGAGUCGACCCCUAAGGCGAGGCCGAAAGGCGUAGUCGAUGGGAAACAGGUUAAUAUUCCUGUACUUGGUGUUACUGCGAAGGGGGGACGGAGAAGGCUAUGUCAGCCGGGCGACGGUUGUCCCGGUUUAAGCAUGUAGGCGGAGGUUCCAGGUAAAUCCGGUACCUUAUUAACGCUGAGGUGUGAUGACGAGGCACUACGGUGCUGAAGUGAUAAAUGCCCUGCUUCCAGGAAAAGCCUCUAAGCAUCAGGUAACACGAAAUCGUACCCCAAACCGACACAGGUGGUCAGGUAGAGAAUACCAAGGCGCUUGAGAGAACUCGGGUGAAGGAACUAGGCAAAAUGGUGCCGUAACUUCGGGAGAAGGCACGCUGAUGUGUAGGUGAAGUCCCUGCGGACGGAGCUGAAAUCAGUCGAAGAUACCAGCUGGCUGCAACUGUUUAUUAAAAACACAGCACUGUGCAAACACGAAAGUGGACGUAUACGGUGUGACGCCUGCCCGGUGCCGGAAGGUUAAUUGAUGGGGUUAGCGGCAACGCGAAGCUCUUGAUCGAAGCCCCGGUAAACGGCGGCCGUAACUAUAACGGUCCUAAGGUAGCGAAAUUCCUUGUCGGGUAAGUUCCGACCUGCACGAAUGGCGUAAUGAUGGCCAGGCUGUCUCCACCCGAGACUCAGUGAAAUUGAACUCGCUGUGAAGAUGCAGUGUACCCGCGGCAAGACGGAAAGACCCCGUGAACCUUUACUAUAGCUUGACACUGAACACUGGUCCUUGAUGUGUAGGAUAGGUGGGAGGCUUUGAAGCGUGGACGCCAGUCUGCGUGGAGCCAACCUUGAAAUACCACCCUUUAAUGGCUGGUGUUCUAACGUAGACCCGUGAUCCGGGUUGCGGACAGUGUCUGGUGGGUAGUUUGACUGGGGCGGUCUCCUCCCAAAGAGUAACGGAGGAGCACGAAGGUUGGCUAAUCCUGGUCGGACAUCAGGAGGUUAGUGCAAUGGCAUAAGCCAGCUUGACUGCGAGCGUGACGGCGCGAGCAGGUGCGAAAGCAGGUCAUAGUGAUCCGGUGGUUCUGAAUGGAAGGGCCAUCGCUCAACGGAUAAAAGGUACUCCGGGGAUAACAGGCUGAUACCGCCCAAGAGUUCAUAUCGACGGCGGUGUUUGGCACCUCGAUGUCGGCUCAUCACAUCCUGGGGCUGAAGUAGGUCCCAAGGGUAUGGCUGUUCGCCAUUUAAAGUGGUACGCGAGCUGGGUUUAGAACGUCGUGAGACAGUUCGGUCCCUAUCUGCCGUGGGCGCUGGAGAAUUGAGGGGGGCUGCUCCUAGUACGAGAGGACCGGAGUGGACGCAUCACUGGUGUUCGGGUUGUCAUGCCAAUGGCACUGCCCGGUAGCUAAAUGCGGAAAAGAUAAGUGCUGAAAGCAUCUAAGCACGAAACUUGCCCCGAGAUGAGUUCUCCCUGAGACCUUGAGUCUCCUGAAGGAACGUUGAAGACGACGACGUUGAUAGGUCGGGUGUGUAAGCGCAGCGAUGCGUUGAGCUAACCGAUACUAAUGAACCGUGAGGCUUAACCUUACAACGCCGAAGCUGUU